This 544-nucleotide ribosomal RNA is filed under the name uncultured Glomeromycotina. RNAcentral's name for it is "SSU rRNA". It matches the Rfam family "Eukaryotic small subunit ribosomal RNA", at positions 548 to 1098 of the family's 1831-position model. The record is from RNAcentral. Lineage: Eukaryota; Fungi; Glomeromycota.
UUGGAGGGCAAGUCUGGUGCCAGCAGCCGCGGUAAUUCCAGCUCCAAUGGCGUAUAUUAAAGUUGUUGCAGUUAAAAAGCUCGUAGUUGAAUUUCGGGGUUCUACCGUUGGUCGGGCUUUGUCUGUACUGGUGUGUAGAAUUUCUACCUUCUGGGGAACCAUCAUGCUAUUAAUUUAGCGUGGUGGGAAACCAGGACCUUUACCUUGAAAAAAUUAGUGCGUUCAAAGCAGGCUUAUGUCUGAAUGCAUUAGCGUGGAAUAAUAGAAUAGGACGGUGGUCCUGUUUUGUUGGUUUCUGAAUCACCGUAAUGAUUAAUAGGGAUAGUUGGGGGCAUUAGUAUUCAAUUGUCAGAGGUGAAAUUCUUGGAUUUAUUGAAGACUAACUUCUGCGAAAGCAUUUGCCAAGGAUGUUUUCAUUAAUCAAGAACGAAAGUUAGGGGAUCGAAGACGAUCAGAUACCGUCGUAGUCUUAACCAUAAACUAUGCCGACUAGGGAUCGGACGAUGUUAAUUUUUCUUGACUCGUUCGGCGCCUUACGGGAAAC